UUAUUGUAUCAUAAUUUUAAUUCAGAAUUAGUAUCUUUCAUGUCUAUUAAAGUAAUCUUCUUGAUUCAAAAUUGGUAAAUUGUUCAACGCUUCGGUGAAUUUCAACUAUACCAAUGCUUUUACUAUAUCCAGGCAUUGAUACACUAUUUUUAAUGUUAUCUCAUCACGUCUUAUGAAGUAUCUUUCUUUAAUUGUGAGUUGAAGAUCUCGACGAGCCGUUAAUUUUCCCCUGACAUCUCGAAGAUGAUAAAAACACAAAAAUAAUAUUACAUGGCAGUAAACAACAGACGGAACAUAAAUCAAGUUACCCAUUCUGGGUAGCCUUGUCAGUUCUGUUGGAAGUAAAGUAAAGGGAUAGUAGAAAAAAACAUCUCGAAUGAUAAGAUUUUUACACGUCGCUAUCAAACCAACUCUCUGACGCAUUCUGUUGAAAACUGUCUGUUCUUCUAAACUGUAACGAUCGUCUGAAAUAUAGCUCGCUAUUUUAUGUGGAGUACACUUAGAUAAGCAGUAAUUUAUUAUAUAAAUGCAUUCUUUGAAACGUUUACAUUGAUACAAUGAUGAUGCAAACAAUAUCCAAGAGUUCAAUACAUCGGAAGAUAGCCCAAGCUUGACGGAACCAAACAUGAUAUGGUUUUGUCUGUAGAAAGAUUUGUUACUUAUAGUUAAGUUCCUAGAAUGAUGUGCUUGUGUGUAGGGGUUUGACACCAAAGACAUCAUAUAUUUACAUAAUUCCUGGUCUGGAAAAUUAAUACAGCAUGUUAAAGCGCGGUUUAGUUUAUCCCAUAUAUAUCCUAGAAAAAUAUUAAUUUUCAAAAAACAUAAACUGAGACAUGGCAAUACGGAAACUGCCAGUUCGAACCCGUAUGAAUUUCUAGAAUCCAACCUAUGCUGUUGAAAUAUCGACGUAUUAAAAAUGGCAGUCCAUGGUGACAUAUAUAUAAGCUGCAACGAAUUCAGUAAUGUUACUUGUUGGUCAUCAGUGAAUCGAUCCUCAAAUAAGUUGUUAUCUGGUAUGAAAUAAUGAAGACAUGUUUUGUAUUUAACACAGUAAAUCAAUCGUCUAAAACAGUUUAGAAAACAAGACAAAAAUGAUUUGGGUUUCCAGUCUGAAGGACAUGACUCUUCACUUAACCAAAACAUUAUUGUUUUAAGGAAAUAUGAACAAAUU
RNAcentral lists this long non-coding RNA (1171 nucleotides) under Mytilus galloprovincialis (Mediterranean mussel). The record is from RNAcentral. Lineage: Eukaryota; Metazoa; Mollusca; Bivalvia; Mytilida; Mytilidae.